AUUGAACGCUGGCGGCAUGCCUUACACAUGCAAGUCGAACGGCAGCACGGACUUCGGUCUGGUGGCGAGUGGCGAACGGGUGAGUAAUGUAUCGGAACGUACCUUUCAGUGGGGGAUAACGUAGCGAAAGUUACGCUAAUACCGCAUAUUCUGUGAGCAGGAAAGCAGGGGGAUCGCAAGACCUUGCGCUGAUUGAGCGGCCGAUAUCAGAUUAGCUAGUUGGUGGGGUAAGGCCUACCAAGGCGACGAUCUGUAGCGGGUCUGAGAGGAUGAUCCGCCACACUGGAACUGAGACACGGUCCAGACUCCUACGGGAGGCAGCAGUGGGGAAUUUUGGAC
This 339-nucleotide ribosomal RNA is filed under the name uncultured bacterium. RNAcentral's name for it is "bacterial SSU rRNA". It matches the Rfam family "Bacterial small subunit ribosomal RNA", at positions 30 to 369 of the family's 1533-position model. The record is from RNAcentral.